This 91-nucleotide transfer RNA is filed under the name Candidatus Hydrogenedentota bacterium. RNAcentral's name for it is "tRNA-Ser". It matches the Rfam family "tRNA". Rfam says of the family: Transfer RNA (tRNA) molecules are approximately 80 nucleotides in length. Their secondary structure includes four short double-helical elements and three loops (D, anti-codon, and T loops). The record is from RNAcentral. Lineage: Bacteria; Pseudomonadati; Candidatus Hydrogenedentota.
GGAGAGAUGACCGAGAGGCCGAAGGUGGCGCCCUGCUAAGGCGUUGUACGUCAAAAGCGUACCGAGGGUUCGAAUCCCUCUCUCUCCGCCA